UUUUUUUUUUUUUCAAAAACAGAUUCUAAUAAGUACGAGUAAGAAAUAAUUAACAAAAACUCAUGUGUGCCCCAAAUAAAGAUAGAGAUAUAGGCAUAAACUCUAUACCAUGGACACCUUCUAUGAGUCACGAAAAUAUCAGUCAUAUAUACUGGGCACUUAGUCUGGUACAUGCAAAUUUCAAGGCAAUUCCUCUCCAUCUGAGAACCAGGAAUUCUGUAAUUUUAAGGCCAAAUUGUAGUCCAAUUGCCACAAGUGCAAAACCACCCCACAUAACCACCUAUUUGUGAAUCAUGGAACGAUAGCCUCAACCAACCAAUUGUGCCAUAAAUCAUUGUUAAGACUUCUUUGGCUCAUUUUAGUACAGAUUUAAAAGUAAAAAUUGCAAAAGAUUAUAAACAUCUAUUAUUUUGUAAAAGUUUCAAACUCCCAUUACAGUUAUCAGCCUUGUAGCGGUUCUCCAGCCUAGCUGCACAUUGGAAUCAUGAACAGCCAGGAUGAUUCAACCAGAGAUUCUGAAAGGUCCUCAGGUGAUUCCAAAGUGCAGCCGUGUUGAGAGCCACUAUGUGUGAGGGAACAGAUGUCAACUAUCAGCUGAAUGUAGCUCUUCAAUCUGAGAACCUGGAAUGUCUUACAACGACAAUAGGAAACCCACAUUUGCCUUGUUUCUCCUCACAUUACAGUUAUUGCGGGCCAGUUUUGAUAGGACAGUUUAGAUUUUCUCAUUUAGUCUGACUGAAAAACCGUUUCACGAGGCAUUUGCACAACCACUGCAAAACACUGCAUCAAACUAGGUACCACCUAUUACAAAUUUCAGAUUCUUAUGCUAAGGGUUGUGUGGUACUGUAGGAGGUUGGAAUUAAAGUGCGACAAUUCUCUUUGUUUUGUGAUAGGCUUUAAAUUAAACAACCCAAAAGGAUAUAUCUCAGGAUUCUCUAUAAUAAAACUUCUUUUCCUCCAAGGCAUUUGCAUCUUUGGUUUAGUUCACCUAUGUUGUAUCACUGAAACAUGUUUUACAAAUACUGUUAACAGAUCGAAAGCAUCUGAAUCAUUUAAAAAAUCCUGAAUGAAUAAUUCAUAAGGUUAAAAUAAGCUGCUAAAGCCAUUCUUGUGGCUUCUAUAUCAAAGCAUACAUAAAGAAAUGGACACUUGUCAGGGAUUUUGAAGGCAAGGGGAACUGAUUCUAGGUACCAAAAAAAGGAGAGGUUAGAUGGACUGGAAAAAGAGGGGUGAUAUAUACAUGAGGAACUCUAAAUGUAGCUGGAAAAAAAUAACAAAUCUGUUCAGAGUAACACAAUCAUAAAAUGAAACUCUGAUCAUUGGUUCAAAUGUUCAGCCAGGCCAAAGCAACUCCUGUUUUAUCCUCAGCCACUUUCCUUCCUACCCAGAACCUGUUUAGGAACCCAGUGCAAAAUGGAAGUGUGGACCUCUUGCUCAAAAAUUAUUAAGAAUUAUUAAAAAUUUCAGCCAGACAUGGUGGUUUAUGCCUCUAACCCCAGCACUUUGGGAGGCCGAGGUGGGCAGAUCGCUUGAGCCCGGGAGUUUGAGACCAGCCUGGGCAACAUGGUGAAAUCCUGUCUCUACAAAAAAUACAAAACUUAGCUGGACAUGCUGGCACAUGCCUGCAGUAUCAGCUACUUGGGAGGCUGAGUUGGGAGGAUCCCUUCAGCCAGGAAGGUCAAGGCUAUAGUGAGCCAUGUUUUCGCCACUGCACUCCAUCCUGGGUGACAAAGUGAGACAAAGUGGAACUGUG
This 1753-nucleotide long non-coding RNA is filed under the name Macaca fascicularis (crab-eating macaque). RNAcentral describes it as "lncRNA (ENSMFAG00000047857.1)". Lineage: Eukaryota; Metazoa; Chordata; Mammalia; Primates; Cercopithecidae. The record is from RNAcentral.